This 253-nucleotide ribosomal RNA is filed under the name uncultured bacterium. Its description in RNAcentral is "partial 16S ribosomal RNA". It matches the Rfam family "Bacterial small subunit ribosomal RNA", at positions 524 to 776 of the family's 1533-position model. The record is from RNAcentral.
UACGGGGGGGGCAAGCGUUGUUCGGAAUUACUGGGCGUAAAGGGCUCGUAGGCGGCCAACUAAGUCAUACGUGAAAUCCCUCGGCUUAACCGGGGAACUGCGUCUGAUACUGGAUGGCUUGAGUUCGGGAGAGGGAUGCGGAAUUCCAGGUGUAGCGGUGAAAUGCGUAGAUAUCUGGAGGAACACCGGUGGCGAAGGCGGGUCUCUGGGCCGUAACUGACGCUGAGGAGCGAAAGCGUGGGGAGCGAACAGG